This 233-nucleotide long non-coding RNA is filed under the name Amborella trichopoda. RNAcentral describes it as "long non-coding RNA (ATRI_LNC004071)". Lineage: Eukaryota; Viridiplantae; Streptophyta; Magnoliopsida; Amborellales; Amborellaceae. The record is from RNAcentral.
UCCACUAGCAUUGGGGUUGCAAAAAAUUUCUAAGAUGAUGAGCUUGAUUGUUGAGCAUUGAACUUGCAAAAAAUUCUAAGAUAAUGAGCUGGAUUGUUGUGCAUUGGGCUUGAAAAAAAUUUCUAAGAUGAUGAGCUUUAUUGCUGAGCAUUGGGCUUGCAAAAAAUUUCUGAGAUGAUGGGCUUGAGGGUUGACCAUUAGGCUUGUACAAAAACUCUAGUCUUGUUCUUAAA